GGAGCAGCUCGUUGCUUUCCAAAUGUGUGUAUACAGCAAAUGAAUGAAUAAUAGAGGAGAAAAGAUAGUCAAUCUCCUGCCCCAGCAGCUGUAGAAGGACUGAUUUGAGGAAACGCAUGUUCAAGAGAUGAGAAUCCUAGGGAGGUGUCAAAACACCUGUGGGUGGGAUGCUCUGCCGAACAGGCACAGGAAGGAUUGAUAAAGUUGUUCUAACUACUGUAAAUUCAUUUGAAGCACAGAGAAAAUUCCAGACUUCCAAAGGGGAAGACUCCUGCAGGGAACCAAGCCAAACUGGCCCUGCUGAAAGAGCUGUAGCAAAAAAACGGGCCCUGAAGCCCAGAAAUCCAGUCUGGGAGUGACUCCAAGGCCUAUCACAAGCAGGGGUAUAUUCACAAGGCACAACAGGCUCUGAUCUGUGACAACUAAAUUAAAGAUAGUAUUUUUUUUUGUUUGUUUUCCAUUUAAAUUUAAAAACUACUGAGCUCUUCAAGUUUGUUAUAUGCAUUAAAACUCACUUCUAACUCAUCUUGAUCUACAAUAAGGAACUGGCAGUUCCCUAAAUUCCCCUGUUUUCUCAACAACCCUGUACAGGGUGACAUUCCGGAGGCUGUGCAUCUAAGUGUGUAGCACAGACCUUGCAUCCUGGGGAAAGAGGAGCAUUAAGGUGGCCAGGGCCAUCCUUAGGAUUUAUGGCACCACAGGCGGGAUUAUUAAACUGGUGCCCCUAUGCCUGGCGUGCUCUUAGCAACACAAACAUAAGCUUACAGUAUUGGAAAACUUGCCACAUGCAUUUUAUUAAAAACAGUUUAACUUAAUUAAGCACACUGUAAUGCUGAUGGACUAGCACUAAAGAAGUAGUGCUAUAGGAAAAAAUUCUGAUUUAUUGAUCGAAUGAUACAAAUAAUAUAAUUUUUUAAAUGUCAACAUUUUAUUGGAAAUUUCUAAGAGGUAUUGAAACAAGGAUUUGUUUUUAAUUAAAAGUGAUCUUUCUGGCUUUUUUGGCUGUAAAAUCAUUAAUAAUGUCAUCAUAUGAUAAAGACAAAAUGAUGUCUUGUUCGAUUGCAAGAGUAGCAAGACCAGUCAAUCAUUCCAGACUCAUUGUAGAAUGGAGAUGGUUUUUAAUGAGCUUUAGUUUUGGAAAACUCUAUUCUCCUGAUGCGACUGUUACAGGAAUUGUCAGUAGAAUACGAGUGGCAAUGUACACAUUAGGAUAUAUGUCAACAAGUUUGCUGAUAUGAAUAAACUGUACAAUGUCCAUCACCAAUUUUGCAUGUGACAACAUUGAUGACAAUGUACUCAGUUCUUUGUACAGUUGAAGUUGGUUUAAAUCAAAACUAUCACCGUGCUUCAGGAGGCUCUCUAGGUUCUUGUACUUCGUGAUUUGCUGCUCUUGUUUUCCUAUUUUGUUGAAUUUAGUUAUGUCCUACAAAAAUCCAAACUGUUCAUGGUGUGCUCGUAAGGUAUUAAACCUUUCAUCAAUGGCAGAUGUUGCUUUAUCCAUCACAACAUUAAAAAAUUCAACCUCAAAUUUCUUUUCUGGAUCAUCUAUGGGCUCAUCUGCCCCUUCAUAUUCCACUUGCCAUUUUUUCCUUGAAACUCGUGUCAUGUUCGGACAUGGAAAUUUUGGUUCUACA
Dermochelys coriacea (leatherback sea turtle) is the source of this 1634-nucleotide long non-coding RNA. RefSeq lists it as uncharacterized. The record is from RefSeq and is a predicted model, not a curated record. The transcript is spliced from 3 exons. NCBI's taxonomy places the organism in Eukaryota, Metazoa, Chordata, Testudines, Dermochelyidae.